GGUGCGGCCAUUGGGGAUGGAAGAAAUAAAUGCAUUUUCAUGUGAGAAAGACACGGAUUUCAUGAGUCAGAAGCCGAUUUCUAUGGUUUGACUAUAUCUCUGCAAAACGGAUGCAUGGGAAGACCAAAUCUCGCCACGGUAGCUUUGAGAACUGGGACCUUCAAGAGGGAUUGAACUUCGGUACACAGGAUUGUGUACCCAGCUCCAUUACCUGCUGGACCAUCUUGCUGGCCUGAUCCCAAGUUACUGCUGUUUGAGGAUGGGUGUGUGAGCAGGGAAAACUGAGGAAGUAGCACAUUUUAGGAUGUACCCUUGUCUGGUAUUCAUUACCUCUCUCCUAUAACAGUGAAGAAGGAAGAAUCACAUCAACGUGUGGAGCCCUGGGAGAUGCAGAGGGCUAGAACUGCUGACAUUAAGGUACCCCAAGCUGUGGAAAGAGAGGCCAUCUGGGGCGGACACUGGCAGUUCCACUGAGCCAACGUUAAUUUCUACCUACCCAGUCUCCUCCAUCUCUCUGUUUAUGGAUGGCAGGCGAUCUUCAGAUGACAGAGUCUGGGAAACUGGUCUUGGGAGGGACCUCCUCAGGUGGUGACGAUGUGUUGUUGGCAUUUGGGAUAUUGCUGUGUGUUUUGUCACAUGUUAAGAAGGUGGCCAGACUGUACAAUUUGGGGCUUUGAGGAGGCUUUAUCUUCCACCAGAGUUUAGCUGAGGGAUUUAUGGGAAGCUGCUACCUUGUGAGGUAAGUUACACACAAAUGCCUUGUGAUUUAUACUGGAAAGAUUCCUUGUUGCUCAUUGACAUAAAUCUUAUUACACACUAUCCUUCUCAGAUAGCAAUGUCAACUGAAGAAAUUAUUUAAAAAAAACAAAACAAAACAAGAUAUGAAUGGCCUUCUUUGAGUAAUUUGGGAUGUUAUUAUGCAUUAAAAC
Molecule: non-coding RNA, 929 nt
Organism: Peromyscus maniculatus bairdii (prairie deer mouse)
Lineage: Eukaryota; Metazoa; Chordata; Mammalia; Rodentia; Cricetidae
Source: RefSeq, a predicted model, not a curated record